GCAGCCGCGGUAAUACGGGGGGUGCAAGCGUUGUCCGGAAUCAUUGGGCGUAAAGCGUUCGUAGGCGGCAAGGUAAGUCAGAUGUUAAAGCCCGGGGCUCAACUCCGGUUCGGCAUUUGAUACUACCUAGCUAGAAUGCGGUAGAGGUAAAGGGAAUUCCUGGUGUAGCGGUGAAAUGCGUAGAUAUCAGGAGGAACAUCGGUGGCGAAAGCGCUUUACUGGGCCGUUAUUGACGCUGAGGAACGAAAGCCAGGGGAGCAAAUGGGAUUAGAUACCCC
Molecule: ribosomal RNA, 278 nt
Filed under: uncultured Alloprevotella sp.
Lineage: Bacteria; Pseudomonadati; Bacteroidota; Bacteroidia; Bacteroidales; Prevotellaceae
Description: partial 16S ribosomal RNA
Rfam family: Bacterial small subunit ribosomal RNA
Source: RNAcentral